This 218-nucleotide unclassified non-coding RNA is filed under the name Melitaea cinxia (Glanville fritillary). RNAcentral's name for it is "misc RNA ENSMCXG00005007729.1". The record is from RNAcentral. Lineage: Eukaryota; Metazoa; Arthropoda; Insecta; Lepidoptera; Nymphalidae.
UUUUCAGCGACACAAGUUCCUACCUGUUCUUUACUAACGUUACCUUAGUAUCUCCCCAUGGUUUGCCAUACACGAGACGAUCGAAACCACUCUCUGAAAUGAUGUUUCAAAAAUAUCAUACUAAUUCUGAUAAAUAUCUCAAAAGCAUACCUUACACUUACUACGUGAAUGUUAUUCAAGAUACUAUGGUAGAAAUUAAUAAACGAGAAAAAUACAUA